AAUAGUUGCAGAACUGUGGGUCCAAAAAUCUACUGCUUGAAACAAAUGGGAAAGGGUAGCAGUUUCCAUGGGACUAAUACUAAAAGUGAUACAAUGAGAAGUUAAAACUUGGUUGGAUAUGACUCAUGUUAAAAAGUUUCCCCCAAAUUCCGCAAGUAAAGUUUGGUCUGUUAAGAUUUGUGUAUCUGAGAAAAAGAUUAUGCAGGCAAAAAAGGUAUUGUACCAGUACCAAACUCCGAUUAGAUCAAAGUAUAUGCUGCCAGAUACUUUGAUAUUCUUCUCCUGGAAAGGAGUUUUACGGGGCUAAAAAGUGGUAAUUUAAGGGAAGCUGUUACACCUCUACCUAUUACGUUAUGCAAUUUGUCUUUCUUUAGAUUAGAAAUUCAGGGAAGAUGUAUGAAAUGUGAUGCUGGUCAAAUAAGGCUAUUGUUCAAGCCAAACAAUAAAUAAGUAAAGAAAUAAAUGAUUACAAUCUCGAUCAUCACAAAGCUGGAGUAAGCUCAGCAGCUUUGAUCCUCUAGCGUUUUGAAAUUUUA
Molecule: long non-coding RNA, 536 nt
Organism: Theobroma cacao (cacao)
Lineage: Eukaryota; Viridiplantae; Streptophyta; Magnoliopsida; Malvales; Malvaceae
Source: RefSeq, a predicted model, not a curated record